Molecule: long non-coding RNA, 6199 nt
Organism: Podarcis raffonei (Aeolian wall lizard)
Lineage: Eukaryota; Metazoa; Chordata; Lepidosauria; Squamata; Lacertidae
Exons: 7
Source: RefSeq, a predicted model, not a curated record
UGUACUGAGUUAGACCAUUAGCACCUGGCCUCAGCUUUGGCUAACAAGAGAAGGGAGGGGGUUCAGCUUCCUGUAUGCAUUCUGAGCUUUGCCUGCAGAGUCUGCAGAGCUUUCUGCCAAGAAACAGAUAGUUCUGGAAUUCAGAACCAAACUGUCAUCUAGUCAAGUUUGAAACUAAGUGCUCAAGGGUGCUCUACAUUCUGGCACUAGAGUUAACCACAAUAUAACAAAUUGCAAAACAUUGUGAUCUCUCUUUCUCUCUCUCUCUGAAUUCAGUAUCUCUGUUUUAAUUUAUACUUAUAACUGGAAAUACCUUCAGUUCAUUCAGGUGCUAUAGUCCCUUGGAAGUUACUUCUCCUAUAGUAUGGAUCAGGAUUUGACAACUGGCAGACCAAUCUCUAGAUGUCUUGAACAGUAAUUCCUUAUUUUGUUACCUUCACGUGACACCUUAAUUGACACAUGCUCAUAGUAUCUCAUCAUCUGUUACAGAUACUAGUUCUUUUGGCUGGGGUACCCCAGUCAGAUAGGUGGAGUACAAAUAAUAAAAUUGUUGUUGUUGUUGUUGUUUUGCAUCACUGGCCACAAACCAGAUGAAGGCAGGCUGGAAGCUGCAGAAACAUUAUGCCUUGGGCUGUGUUCAGGAUGGCCACGUACACAUAACCAAAAAUAGAAGACAAAUGAGGACACAGAUUCGCAUAACACUGGAAUUAGGCAAUAUUUAUGUAGAGAUAGAAUUCUAGAACCAAUUACUAGAGAACUUAUUUAAAUCUCACUGAAGGCAAGCAAAUUAAUUUGCCAUUCAAAUCAAAAUUACCCCAAAUAAAAUAAAUGCCUCAGUUACUUGGGACCACACUUUGAGAUCACCCCACGUCCAGAUGACCCAGUCAUCCCUCUUUAGUUAAUUUACUCUCCAUUUAUUUCCCACCUAGAACCCUGCUCAAAAACCAAGUCUCCUUUAAUAAAUUACCAUUAUUCUUCACUGCCCCCACAUGUAUUAAAUUUAAUUAACUUUCUUAAAAAUAAAGGCAACCACCUCCCAGCCAGCUUGCGACAGCAGACAAAAAGAUAUUUCUGAACAGUGCUGGAACUAUCAGACUGUCCAUUCUGGAAGAGAAUGCCUAUCUAGGCUUAAUAGGUUUGACCAAUAUGGUGACUAUACCUUAUAUACCCUAUAUCUUAUAUCUAUACCCUAUAUCUUAGCAUAUCUUAGCCCUUAAGCACUUUACAUUCCCAAUGUUUUAUGAAUACCAAAAGCAUGUACUUCAAGUCCUUGCAGCUAUCCAUCACGGAAGAAGCCCUAACACAUUCAAACAUCACAUUACUGUAACUGAAAAAAAGAAAAAUUACUACCUGUGUUCAACAAGCACCAUCCCCAGAGGAUAAAUAUAACUUUGUAAAGAGCCAGGGUAAAGAGGCUAGAAUAUCCCCUUUAUCUGAUUAUUAGGUAGUACUGUAACUCCCCAAACCUUUCAAGUGAUCCUAGAUAGUUGUUACAGGUUAGCUGUCAAACAUCAUGCCAUAUAUUCUUCAUUGCUGGCUAGGAAACAGAGUCAUCUGGUUUCAAGGAAAUACUUUUGACAUGUAAUCUAGAGGUUCACUCAAAAUCAGUUAAGAAUAGCACUUUCACAAUCUAUAGCAUGCAAGUGAUCAUUAUUCCUCCUUUUUUGUUUGAUGUGAUGAUUAGAAAAUUAAUUAUGAGUCAAGAGCUGCCUCGUCAACAGUUAGCACUUGAGCAACUGGGGCCAAAGGCCUGGUGCUACCUGACAUUAGUUGCUCAAGUACUUAGAUAAGCAAAAAACAAAACACUUUUCUGGUAUGAGGUUGCUGGCUUACUCUUUAAACCAGAUUCUCAUGUGUCAAAUCCUGUCAAAGCCAUGUCAUGAAAUGUGACAUUCUCUUCAGGUAGUCUCCUCCUACUUUUUUGUUUUUACCUUUUGCUGGUCAAUAGGGGACAGACGUGCUUUGCCAAAGAUUCUGAAAAGACAUGAUUGUUUGUUUAUUACCUUAGCCCCUUGGGCCAAGGCAGGGGUAGGCAACCCAGAUGCGGCCCAAUCGCCUUCUCAAUCUGGCCCGCGGACGGUCCAGGAAUCAGCAUGUUUUUACAUGAGUAGAAUGUGUCCUUUUAUUUAAAAUGCAUCUCUGGGUUAUUUGUGGGGCAUAGGAAUUCGUUCUCUUUUUUUCUUUUCAAAAUAUAGUCUGGCCCCCUACAUGGUCUGAGGGACAGUAGACUGGCCCACAGCUGAAAAAGGUUGCUGACCCCUGGGUGAAGCAAUGACUUUCAAACAGUAAAUGCAAUAGGUCUGAAAACCAACAGAAGAACAAGCCAGGAACCAAAAAUACAUAGAUCAGCAACUGGCAAUCUUCCUGGCAGAUAUAUUGAGAGCACAGUCUUUUGUCCUUCCACGUUCCGUGGAAAUUAAAGGAGUUGAAACAGAUUCACAAAUUCACAACUUUGGACAACAGAAGAGUAUGACAAUUUAGGAAAGAGUUUGGACAGAAACCCUCUCUACUUCUGUUGAUAUAAACAUGCUCGGCAUCUCAAACCCCCUGCCACAGAUCCUUAAGUUCAGCCGACAGGAGCUGGAAAAGCAUUUUCCAGGAGACAGACGCCACCCCAUAUAAACGUCUCCCCAUAAAGAUAGAAUCGCACAAACACUGGCAACAAUGGAGAAGGCUCAAACCAAAUUCACACAGGGACAAAACCAUAAGCGGAUCCAAAAUUAAUCGAACUUGAUCUAAUCAGUGGCUCGUUGGAGAAUACGAGUUGUUUCUCUGUUUUUACAAAAUUCAGAUUACAAACUCCAGAGAUGAGGGGAGGAAAGUGAUGCCCCUUGUCUUAGCAGCCUUUCAGCAAAGAGAGCUGGUAGCUAUUUUGAGUCCUUUGUGAAUAAAUACGUACUGGCAAUCUGAGCAGAAUUCAUGACACCUUUAAAGCAAUGUGUUUUAUUUCUUAAAGGCCUAAAGGAACUUUCAUUUUGGUCAAUGUAAGAAGCAUACAAGUGCAAGAGUUUUACAUAAGAGCCCAUUGGAUCUGGCCAAAAGCCCACCUAGUCCAGCAUCCUGUUCUCACAGGGGCCAACCAGAUGUCUGUGGGAAGCCUGCAAGGCAGACAUGAGCACAAGACAACAGUUUCCCCGCUUGUGAUUCCCAACAACAGGCAUUCACACGCACACUGCUUCUGAAAGGGGAGGUAGAACAUAGUGGUGUAGCAUGGGGGUGAGGGGGGCCCAUGGCCCCAGGCACAAAAUUCUGAGGGGACACAACCCAGCACCCCCACAACAGGCUCUCUCACUGAAGUUGCUUGGCUGCUGCCUUCCAGAGCUGUGGGGAGGUGAGCCUCACCAGAUCUGGGCCUUCGAGGCUGUAGCGACAGCUCCUUCUCCUCACAGCCAGCAAAGGAAUGCCUGCCCCUGGGCGGAACUCCUGCUGGCCAGAGCCCAGACGCUUCCUGGCCUGUGUCAAUCCUUCUCCGUGGCCUCCCUCCUGGUGUGUGUUCUUGGGUAGGCACCCCAGAGUGGGACUGCAGAAAGAAGAGCAGACCACUUCUCCAGGACCCUCUGACACCCGCCCUCGAACUGUGCAGCCAAGGAGAGAUGGCCACAGAAGGGCUGCACUCAGCGCCUCAGCCUGCUCUCUGCUGCCCUCCUCCUAGACUGCAUCUGUGGCUCCAGUGCCACCGGGACUCCACCAAGCCUGCCAAGGAGCUCCAGCCACUGUCCCAUCAGAAGCUCACCAAGCUGAGAAACUGAAUGCAGGAGCCAGCAGGCAAACUCCAUGAGAAACAGCUGUAGCAGGGGUGCAGUGAGAAAAGCCUGUCCUACAUGACAUCCUCAAUGAGGUUAGGGUUUGCAAUCCUUUCCUUGCCCAGGCGCUGGCAAUGCAUGCUAUGACACUGAUAGAACAUAGCCAUUGUGGCUAGUAGCAAUUGAUAGCCUUAUCAUUCAUGCAUUUGUGUAAUCAUUUUUUUAAAGCAAGAAGGGUAGCUAAAUUCCACUGAGUGGGCCAGCUCACACAAUUGUUUAGGUUUCAUGAACUGGAAACCCCAAAGGAAUUGCUAGAUAUAAAUAAAUGGAGCCAGAAAAACUUUUUGACCCUUCCCUUUCCCAACAAUAUGGUACAAGCCUCUAAAUCAGGGGUCAGCAAACUUUUUCAGCAGGGGGCCAGUCCACAUCCCUCAGACCUUGUGGGGGGCUGGAUUAUAUUGGGGGGGGGAAUGAAUGAAUUCCUAUGCCCCACAAAUAACCCAGAGAUGUAUUUUAAAUAAAAGCACACAUUCUACUCAUGUAAAAACGUGCUGGUUCCCGGACCAUCCAUGGGCCGGAUUUAGAAGGCCAUUGGGCCGGAUCUGGGCUCCGGGCCUUAGUUUGCCUAGCCAUGCUCUAAAUAACCUAAAUAGCUUCCCUCUGCUCUUUGGUGUGAAAAUUGGGCUCGAAUCGACACCCAAUGCCAGCAUGCUUCACUAUUUGCAGGUAAUGCUAUGUUCUAAAUUUCUAUGGAUAAACAUUGAAGAUUCACACACUUAUAGCACCAUCUUAAAACCAGUGAUGUGCAAGUAAUUCCCACCAGUUUAUCCUAGGUUUGCCUGUAUGCCUGAUUUGAACAUGUUUUGGAAUUUUCAUAUUGCAAAAUUAUAUUUGAGUCCUGUCCUUUAGCACAGAGCUGGAAAUGUGAAAAGCAGUAGCUGAAAAAUAUAAUGUAUUUACAUCACACUGGAUGUACACUGGAGCAAUGUAGAAUGUGCCAAUAUGAUUUUUUCUGCCAAUAUGUGCAACACCAUUCAUAUACAGCAUGUGAUUCGCCCAUAUCUGCCAAGAGAAUGAAUAUGCAACCAUUUUGUGUUCUGUGGAUGGGUAUUGUGUGAUUUAUGAAGAAUAUCCUGGAAGGCUGAAAUGCUCCCCCGUUGGAUAAAGCCAGCACUAGUAAAAUAUAAAUUGCAGCUAUCUGUUUCAGUGCCGCUUCAUUACAGUAAUUUGUUACCACCCGUGAGCAUGGACAGCUUUUACAAUUACCAAAUUAAGAAAGCAAGAUAAACAAAACAACACAGUUUCUGAUGCAUUAUUGAAAUGGUGCUCAAAAUACAUUCCUUCCUUAUCUUUGAAGGAGAGAAAGCCUAGAAACAAAACAAAACAAAAUGUUAACUGGUUCUUAAGGACUGAAUACUAUUUGUGAGCAGCACAGGGGAUAACAUACGUGGAGGCAAAGAGCCAUGCUGCAAAGUAGCAUAUCCACAAUUGGACCCCUGCAGGUGAAAAGAUCACGACACUGGGGGUAUAGUACCUGAACAUUUCAGAACACUGUGUAAAUGAAUAUAGUAGCCAACAUACAAAUGCCUUUUUAACAGAAGCAGCAGUGUGUGUGUUAAGGAACUGUUCCCAUUUCGUAGAAGGGUAAAUGAUAGUUUACCAUUUCCAUUGUAAAGACAUUGAGGAUGAGAGAAAAUGCCACACCCAAAGGCCACUCUGUAGAUUCAUGACGCAGAUUCUUACAGUAUGUUCAGAAUUUAAAUAGACAGUCACACAAAGAUGGAUUUCUUCCUGUCAAAACCCUGUGGUUUUUGAACUUAUGAACACACUGUUAUUCUGAGAUGAGUGUGUGAGAGAGACAAGAUCAUGGAAAAACUAAAACCAAGUAGAUAUGAGAAACCCGCAAGAAGGAUAAGAGCACAACAACAACAACACCACUCUGGCCAUUUAUAAGCCAGGAUUUCCAGUGCUGUAGGGACUUUAAAACUCAUUCAGCUGAACACAUGUGGAAGCCCCUUCUAGAUCUUUGCACGCACUUUUAACUUCAGCAUGUUCAGGUAAACACCUAAAGAGGGCUUAUGAUGAAAACUGGCUCAGGAAACAGUCAGUGCAUCACAGGGGCAUUAUCUUCCCUUUUGUCUUUAGCCCCAUUGUUACUCUUCUUGACCUUAUGAAAUAGGCUUCAAGGCAAUAUUAGCAAGGUAAAUGACAUGUUAAGGACAUUACACUGUAAUUUAUGGUAGAAUGGAAACACUGCUCUAUGUGAUAAAUGCAGGAAGAAGCAGGGAACCAACUAUGUCUUCUUACAUCCUGAGAGUAGAGCUGUGCCCAUUGACCCAACCCUGCCAUCGCACCCACUACUGGCUCAGUCCCACUUCCAUCCAUGCAUGGGAGGGAAAGUAUGUAAAAGGAACCCUGUGUGGCACAUAUAGGCAUGAUCUGACUUCCAAAUCAUG